Molecule: non-coding RNA, 46 nt
Organism: Echinostoma caproni
Lineage: Eukaryota; Metazoa; Platyhelminthes; Trematoda; Plagiorchiida; Echinostomatidae
Source: Rfam
ACCAAGGCCCUCUUCAGGGCCACUACAGAUUGAUUUUACCUUUAUU